This is a non-coding RNA of Desulfobulbaceae bacterium BRH_c16a, 75 nucleotides long. Lineage: Bacteria; Pseudomonadati; Thermodesulfobacteriota; Desulfobulbia; Desulfobulbales; Desulfobulbaceae. The record is from Rfam.
CGGGAUGUAGCGCAGCCUGGUUAGCGCACUAGUCUGGGGGACUAGGGGUCGGAGGUUCAAAUCCUCUCAUCCCGA